GCCACUGUUAUUGGGGUUCGGCUAAGCCAUGCGAGUGGAGGGCGUCCCGCAAGGGAUGGCCCCGCAGACGGCUCAGUAACACGUCGUCAACCCACCUUGGGGUGGGGGACAACCUCGGGAAACUGAGGAUAAUCCCCCAUAGGCGGGGGAGGCUGGAAUGCGCCCCCGCUGAAAGCUCAGGCGCCCUAGGACGGGACGGCGGCCUAUCAGGUAGUUGGUGGUGUGACG
RNAcentral lists this ribosomal RNA (228 nucleotides) under uncultured archaeon. RNAcentral's name for it is "partial 16S ribosomal RNA". It matches the Rfam family "Archaeal small subunit ribosomal RNA", at positions 23 to 246 of the family's 1478-position model. The record is from RNAcentral.